UGGCAACAUAGUAGUUCCAAUGAUUGCCAAAAUCAUCCAAAACCAGUAUAUGGGUGGCACCUUCAUUGUAUUAAAAUAUGAUGAUUCUGAGUUUAAGCAUCUUUAAAUUAUUCCAAAAAAACAAAAAGUGGAAUUUUUCACAAUUGUUCCGUUUCCAUGGAAACGGCAGCCAUUUUUUAUGGUCUUAGACCCUACUGCAACCCGCAAUUUUGUGUUCCCUAUUAUACUAACUAUCAUUAAGAUUGGUUCCAUUGGCUCCGAGAAAAGUGGCGGACAAAAUAGUUGGAAAAGAAUAAUAAUAAACAAAGAAACAGAGGAAAAGCAAUAUGUCACCCGACAUUGUCGAUCGGGUGACAUAAUAAUAAAAAAAAAGAAACGUAGAAUAACAAUACGUCACCCCAACUCCGUUGAGGGUGCCAUAAUAAGAAAAAAAAGAAACGUAGAAUAACAAUACGUCACCCCAACUCCGUUGAGGGUGCCAUAAUAAUAAGAAAAGAAACAGAGGAAAAGCAAUAUGUCACCCGACAUUGUCGAUCGGGUGACAUAAUAAAAUAAGCCAU
This 560-nucleotide long non-coding RNA is filed under the name Mytilus galloprovincialis (Mediterranean mussel). The record is from RNAcentral. Lineage: Eukaryota; Metazoa; Mollusca; Bivalvia; Mytilida; Mytilidae.